RNAcentral lists this transfer RNA (74 nucleotides) under Spirosoma telluris. Its description in RNAcentral is "Spirosoma sp. HMF3257 tRNA-Trp". It matches the Rfam family "tRNA". Rfam says of the family: Transfer RNA (tRNA) molecules are approximately 80 nucleotides in length. Their secondary structure includes four short double-helical elements and three loops (D, anti-codon, and T loops). The record is from RNAcentral. Lineage: Bacteria; Pseudomonadati; Bacteroidota; Cytophagia; Cytophagales; Cytophagaceae.
ACAUCGGUCGUCCAGCGGUAGGACUAUGGUCUCCAAAACCAUCAACGGAGGUUCGAAUCCUUCCCUUUGUGCAA